UAGGGAAUCUUCCACAAAUGGGCGAAGCCNGAUGGAGCAACGCCGCGUGUGUGAUGAAGGGUUUCGGCUCGUAAAACACUGUUGUAAGAGAAGAAUGACAUUGAGAGUAACUGUUCAAUGUGUGACGGUAUCUUACCAGAAAGGAACGGCUAAAUACGUGCCAG
RNAcentral lists this ribosomal RNA (164 nucleotides) under uncultured bacterium. RNAcentral describes it as "partial 16S rRNA". It matches the Rfam family "Bacterial small subunit ribosomal RNA", at positions 355 to 511 of the family's 1533-position model. The record is from RNAcentral.